Molecule: unclassified non-coding RNA, 335 nt
Filed under: soil metagenome
Description: partial contains 5.8S ribosomal RNA, internal transcribed spacer 2, and large subunit ribosomal RNA
Rfam family: 5.8S ribosomal RNA (bases 1-120)
Source: RNAcentral
GAUGAAGAACGCAGCGAAAUGCGAUAAGUAGUGUGAAUUGCAGAAUUCAGUGAAUCAUCGAAUCUUUGAACGCACAUUGCGCCCCUUGGUAUUCCAUGGGGCAUGCCUGUUCGAGCGUCAUUUGUACCCUCAAGCUUUGCUUGGUGUUGGGUGUUUGUCCUCUCCCUCGCGUUUGGACUCGCCUUAAAACAAUUGGCAGCCAGUAUUUUGGUAAUGAAGCGCAGCACAUUUUGCGAUUCUAGCUAAAAUACUUGCGUCCAUAAGCCUUUUUUAACUUUUGACCUCGGAUCAGGUAGGGAUACCCGCUGAACUUAAGCAUAUCAAUAAGCGGAGGA